AGCCCUAGAACCUAUCUAAGGUGCAACCUGCCCCAGUGAUUUUUAAUUAAAAACAAUUAACAGCUGUUUAAUUAAAUUAAAAGGAAGCGGUAACCUUGACUGUAAUAAUGUAGCACAAUCAUGCGCCAUUUAAUUGAUGGAUAGUAUGAAUGGUUUAACGAGCAUUUCACUGUCUUAAAAAGAAACAACUAUAAACUGGAAUAAUAGUUAAGAUACUAUUUAAAAUUGUAAGACGAAAAGACCCUAUAGAGCUUAACUACAAUCUCUAUUAAUACAAUUAUUAUACUAAUAACUUAACAUAGAGACAGGUAGUUUAAUUGGGGCGAUUAUCUUUUAAAUUAAACAAAGACAAGCAAUAUUAAUUAUUUAAUUUAUUGUAUAAUUCAUUAAUUUAACAAUUAUUACAAUAGGCAAUAAUGACCUAUUAGUUCAUUAUGAUAUGACUAAUAAUCAAUAAAUAAAAGCUACCUUAGGGAUAACAGAAUAAUUUUAUUCUAGAGACCUUAUCGAAAAUAAAGUUUAUUACCUCUAUGUUGAAUUAAGAUAUCCUGACGAUGCAGAAGUUGUCAAAGGUAGGUCUGUUCGACCUUUAAAAUCUUA
Molecule: ribosomal RNA, 600 nt
Filed under: Hydrodendron mirabile
Lineage: Eukaryota; Metazoa; Cnidaria; Hydrozoa; Leptothecata; Haleciidae
Description: partial 16S ribosomal RNA
Rfam family: Bacterial large subunit ribosomal RNA
Source: RNAcentral